This 253-nucleotide ribosomal RNA is filed under the name uncultured bacterium. Its description in RNAcentral is "partial 16S ribosomal RNA". It matches the Rfam family "Bacterial small subunit ribosomal RNA", at positions 524 to 776 of the family's 1533-position model. The record is from RNAcentral.
UACGAGGGGUGCAAGCGUUGCUCGGAAUUAUUGGGCGUAAAGGGUAGGUAGGUGGUCUCAUUUGUCUGAUGUGAAAGCCUUGGGCUUAACUCAAGAAGUGCGUCAGAAACGGUGAGACUGGAGUCCUGGAGAGGGUCGUGGAAUUCCCGGUGUAGCGGUGAAAUGCGUAGAGAUCGGGAGGAACACCAGAGGCGAAGGCGGCGACCUGGACAGGUACUGACACUAAACUACGAAAGCGUGGGGAGCAAACAGG